Equus caballus (horse) is the source of this 8840-nucleotide long non-coding RNA. RefSeq lists it as uncharacterized. The record is from RefSeq and is a predicted model, not a curated record. NCBI's taxonomy places the organism in Eukaryota, Metazoa, Chordata, Mammalia, Perissodactyla, Equidae.
CCCUGAGUCCACAUUCCAUCAGGAUGAUGUCAUAGAAGACUGGAUCCAGGCGCCUCUUCCUUUGGGUCCCGUGACCACUCAGCGGAGGGAGAAGCUAACACUGUGAUGAGACGUGACUCGCCAGAGAGACAGGGGGGCUUUCUGCAUCUGAAUGUUCUUAGCCAUCGUACAUUUGAUUGAGCAUCUGUCUUGUGCUGGUUUUGAGCUGGGCCUGGAGUUCAAAGGUGGGCAAAAGCCCGUCCCUGCCCUUUAAGGAUCUCCCAGUCUAGCAGAAGAAAAUGGCUCGUCUGUAAAGACAACUCCCUGUGAUUUGUCACAGAGGAUUCACGGAAUCGUGUUAGAAGAAAUCACUCUCCUGUUACGCGUGGGGAGCUGUGGCCCAGAGAAGAGACGCGACCUGCUCAGGGUGGCAGAACUUGGACAAGGUGGAAGAUUCAUGCCUCCUGGUUGAAGUGCAAUGUGAAUUGCACAAUUCUUAGGCUUUCUCUAAACAUUCGGAGUUUGGAAACAUAGUAGCGUUCUUUUUCUCUAUAACCACCAAAUUACAAAGAAUUUCUCCUUGAGAUUUUUCAGUUUGAAGGAAGACCUUUGCUGGGGACUCUGAAAGAGAGAAACAGAGCUGUCGGCGAUCCAGAGUAACCGAGUGCCUGGGCCCGGGGCUGGGGUCUCAGGAGGAACCGUGUUAAAUGACCUACAAGUUUCAUCUCGGAAACCUCUGAACUUCCUUACAACACUUAGGAGAGAGGACUAAAACAUGUCGAAUCAGGAGACCCUGCUCUGUUCUGGAUUUAAAUGCACUGCGCUCUGAGAUUGACUUUUGAAGCAGCAGAAAUUGGAGGAAAAGGGAAGCAAAGCAGUGACAGGGGAGGGAUAAGUGGAGUGACACAGUGGAACACUCACUGGCUUUGUGUCAGAGAGACCUGAAUUCCAAUCCUGCUUCUGGGGUUACUAGCUGUGUGAUGUUGGGUAAUUUACUUAACCUCUCUGAACCUCAGUUUCUUUACCAAUAGAAUCAAUAUGCUUAUACCUACUAAUUUGCUUUUUGGGAUGAGUAAUGGGAUAAUGUAUGUAGCUUUGCCUGGUGCAGAGGAAGCCAUUGGUAAAUAGUUAUGGAAUGAAUGAUUGAUAACUUGAAAACAUUAUUAUUUCUGACUUGUCUGUGGAUCACUCCCCAAUUUUCAGUGUACUUUGGGAAUCUAUAGUUACCUAAGAUAGUUUCAUUCCACUGUGGCCUCCUAGGCCUCAUGUUUCAAGCAAUCAACUUCAUCUUCUUUACCUGUGCUGGCCCUUAUCAUGGGAGUUGAGAGUGAUGUCCUCUCCCUCCCUCUUUGAUUUCUCCCUUCCUUACUUCCCUCAUUCACUUGAGAAUAUAUAUUAACGUUCUAUUAUAGUCCAGACACUGGGUUAGAAGUAAAGGUUAUGAGGUCAGGAAGAAUUAGUCUUGGCCCCUGAGAAGGUCACAGUCUUGUGGAAGAGACACAAAAGAGGGAGCCACGAACUCUGUCUGGGUCGGGGGAGGUGGGAGAGGAAGCACGAGGCAGGUGAGCUUUCCUACAGGGAGGGCAUCUUCCCGAACACUGGGAGGAGUUACGCAGAGAGUCAUGGUGGCGCCCCUCCAGGAAGAGGGAGCCGUAAGUGCUGACUGACCACAGAGGCCCGAGAGACGCCAGAGUGCUCCGGGACCAGAGAGGAGUGGGGAGGGUGGGUGCAGUGGGGGCACGGGGAGGUGAGAGCUCAGGGGUCAGUGGGGACUGGACAGCCACAGACCUCAUAUGCCUUACAAGGCGUUUGGACUUCACCCUGCUGGCGACAGGGCGGGAGACAGGGGUGUGAAAUUGGCCAAAGGCAUGUGAUAGAAGCUGCCGGGGAAGAGAUUCGAGAGGGCAGUGGGAUCAGGGAGAUGGAUCAAGACCUCCUUUAAAAUCUGGCUGAGUGAUAAGGAGAAUUUAGAGACAGUACAGGUGGAAAAGAAGGGAUGGAAUUCAAGAGAUGGUUGGGAACAGCUCCAACAGGCAAUGGCGGGGAGUGGGCAUUGGGGAUGAGGAAGGGUGUGGGGCCUUCCCAAGUCAGGAUGGGAAAGCUGGGGGGCCACCUUUUCUAAUUUCCUCUAAAGCAGAGGCUUCUCUCUGUGUGGAAAUGAUUGUCAUACCCCACGAAUGACCUGGGAACUGCCCGAUUUCACAACUGGGCAUUCCAGGCUCUCUAUAAACAUGUGUUGAAUGAACGGAUGCUGGAAAUGACAUUCCUGCAGGAAGCCAAAAUGAGUGCUGUCAGGCUAUUUUGAGCCGGUCUUAUGGCUCAUCACCCUCCCAGUUGUAUCCUUUGUAACCAUCGCAUCCUUUGUCCCUCCAAAUCGUCCUUAGCGUUUCCUCCUGGGGCUUCUGUGCCCUGACCACAAGCUAAGAGGAGGUGAACGUGGCAGGGUAGCUCUCUGCUCCCCUCCCACCAGCAUCUCUCAUCUGCAGCAGGCCUCGGUCUGUGUUCUCGUUAUCUCGGUGUGGAAUCCUGGCUGCCUGAGUCCUGCAUCAACUCAGCAGGCUGGCUGGGACCCCAGGCCAGUACGGAUUGGAAAGUGCGAGUCCUCCUUGCUCAGUAGGACUGAUCUGAAGCUCCUUUCCUAGGCAGACCCAGGCCCAGCGUAUAGGCCUGUGGCCCAUUUAUCUCCGAGUCCACGGGAGGGGCCAUAUCAGGAUUUCAAGUCCAAGUUGGAUUCUUCAGUUUCACAGCUAAAUGCACACACCAUCAGCAACUCAACAAUUACUCUGCAAUUAAUGGUUUAAAAUUCAUACACUCCAGUCUCUCCCCAGCAACAUCGCACGGUGCUGUGUCAUAGAGGGGAAAUCUGGCUUGAAAUUCCAGGUCUGUCGCAUCUUAUUGUUGGUGAGGCCUUGCAUAGGUGUCUCACAAUCUCUCUACCUCAGUAAUCAAGUGAACAGCACAGAGGAGGUGUGAAUAUCACACAGAUGUCAUGUUAUGUGCGUUUCACAGUGUCCCACUUAGUCCACACUUCAUGAGCAAAGAGGCAUGUGUGUCGCAGUCUCCUCCAACUUCUCUGAGCUCCAGCUUCACAACAACGGCAAGCUUAAUAAUGCACCUUUUUAUUUUAUAGUCAAGUUUUUCGAGGCUUAAUUUAUAUACAGUAAAUUUCCACCUUAUUAGGUGUACAGUUCUAUGAGUUUUGAAAAAAAUGCUGAUAGUCCUGUAACCACCACCACAAUCAAGACAGAGAACAUUUCCAUCAUCCCGAAAUGUCCCCUCAUGCCCCUUUGGUAGUCAAUACCUUCCCUGACUUGCAGCCCCUGGCAACCUGUUUUCUAUCCUAUCGUUUUUCUUUUUUCCGGAAAGUCACAUAAGUAUGAAAUUUGUGAAUGUCAUGAAAUUACGCAGUGGGUAAUAGCUCGAGUCUGACUUCUUUCACGUGUGUGACACGUGUGAGAUUCAUCCACGUUGCUGCACCUAUCAGCAGCUUCUUUCUAUUGCUGAGUAUUAUUCCAUUGUGUGGAUGUUUCGCAGCUGGUUUAUUGUUUCACCAGUUGAUGGACAUUGGGUUUUUGGGGACUGAGAAAAGUUGCCGCAAAUAUUUGUACACAGGCUUUUGUGUGGAUCAAUGUUUUCAUUUCUCUGGGCAGAUACCUAUGCGUGGGUCUUAUGGUACAUCUGUGCUUAGGUUUAUAAGAAACUGCCAAACUAUCUUUUUUUUUAACCAACCUGUCAGACUUAUCACUGGGUGGGGACAGGAUUCAGAUCUUCGGGCCUGGGCUUCCCUCCAGGAAGGGCCUCAAAUUUAAACAUCAGUAAUAUUUCUAAUUGAGGUUGUACAGUUGACACAUUGACAGGAUUGAAUGAAGAUGCUUUUUAGACGACUUUAAACUUGUAUACCCUUCCUGGAUCAUGGUGUCUAUACCACAAGUCAGUAAGCUAAGGCCUGGGUUUUUUUUUUUUUGUAAAUAAAGUUUUAUUGGAACACAUCUAUGGCCCUUGUUUACAUGUUGGCAGUGGCUGCUUUGACACUGCAACACGGAGUGGAGUAGUUGUGACAGACUGUUCUGCCAAACUGUUUUUCAAAAUGGCUGUGUGGUUUCAGCGAUUUCACUGUUUAAAAAUUAAACUUCUAUUUUGAGAUAAUUGUAGAUUUAUAUGCAGUUGUAAUAAAUAAUGCAGAGAGAUCCUGAGGGCCCCCGAAUUCCGUACCCAGUUUUCCCUGGUGGUAACGUCUCACAGAACUACAGUACAAUACCGCAACCAGGAUAGUGACAUUGUUACUGUCAAGGUGCAGGACAUUCCCACCACCACAGGAUUCCUUAUGUGGCCCUUUUACAGCCACCCCCCUCCCCCCACCCCAGCCCUUCCUUAACUUCUGGCAACCAGUAAUCAGUUGUCCAUUUCUAUAAUUUUGUUACUUCAAGGCUGUUACAUAAAUGGAAUCAUGCAGAGUGUAACCUUUUACGGAUUGGGUUUUUUCGCUGGCCAUCGUUCUCUGGAGACUCAUUCAGGUUGUUACAUACACCAGUAGUUGGUUCCAUUUUAUUUCUGAAUAGUAAUCCAUGGCCUGAGUGCCACAGGCCACAGUUUAACCAUUCAUCAGUUGAAGGACGUCAGAGUUGUUUCCAGUUUUAGGCUAUUACGAAUAAAGUUGCCAUAAACAUUCGUGUACUGGCUUUGUGUGAACACAAGCAUUUAUUCUCCGGGGUAAACAUCCGGGAUGCAAUUGACAGGUCAUGUGAUAGUUGCCUGUUUAGCCUUGUAGGAAACUGUAAAUGAUUUUCCAGCCUGGCUGCACCAUUUUCUAUUCCCACCAGCAAUAUGAAUGAUUCAGUUUCUCCACAUCCUCCCCAGCUUUUUAUUUCUCCAGUUUCUCAUGGAGAUUUACUUUCCCCAAAGGGAUCGACAAUACGCCCUCGAAUUUGUCAUUUCUACCAUUUAAAACUAUUAUUUCUGUGAUGCUCUCCAUUAUGUAGCUCAGUGUCCCUUUAGGUAAAGUGUUGUCAGAAGUCAGACCAAACAAGGAUAAAAGUUUGGGUUCUCUGUAAACUAGGGUGUUUGAUUUGACACCCAGAGCUGUAAAGGGCACUCUAUUUCCCUUUUCAACUUGGCUGCUGGGAAGUUCAGUAUCAAGUAUUACAUUAAUUGUCAGUGUCUCCCAUUAGCCCCCUGUCAUUGCUUGUUCAUGUCCUUUUUAUUAUGUUUGCUAUAAAUAAUUCAUUUGCCUAAGCUGUUUUGGGCAUCCCUUCUCCAUACUUUCAUAGAUACUUAACUUAGUCUAGCACUGUGUCUAUCAGAGUGAAUUAUAACCAUGCUCCUGGAUCUGUCUCCCCCAUCGUAUGAGAAACUCCUUCAGAAUAAUGCCCCACUCACUGCCCUAUCCCCCAAAGAUGACUUACAAGUAUUUAUUUAUUCAUUCGUUAGAUAUUUAAGGAGCACUUGCAUGGAUUUUAUAUGGGUUUAGCCUCAGGAAAAGCAUAGUGUGGAAGGGAGAGUUAAGUUAUGAAUCUGAAUAACUACAAAACCAGGCAAAGUGUGACGAGUAGUUUAAAGGAAUGAAGAUGCUUAAGGAGUUCAGAGAUGGGAGAGAUUGUGUCUACGGCAGAGAUAUGGAAGGUUUAUUUUAAUAGUGUUAUGACUUUUUAAAAAUUAACAUCUUCCGCAUCAGCUAUUUACAUCCUUUCAGGGGUUCGAUGGAGUUGUAUAAACUGCUGUUACUGAUAAGGGAAGGGCCACAGGGAAAGAAGUGUGUGGGUUAUUUGGGGAACCUGGUGCUGGGGUUCUGCCUGCUAGUGAUGGUAAAGCUGAGGACAUGAUCAGAAGGGAGGGCAGCUGGGGAGAGGAAGAGCAUCGCCCAUCUCAGGAGAAACCAACUCCAGUUGAAUACUAAAAGGACUAGGAUCUCGAGAGAAAUAAACGCGCGUGUUAUCCGUCUGAGACUACUCUGAGGGACCCAGCAUUUCUAGAAAUUCCAGGAGUUGAAAUAGGGAGGGGGUUAAUGCCUCUGGGGCAAAACAAUGAGUGUGCGGAGAGCUGCCUGCCUCUCUGGUGUCCUGAGACAUGAGGAGACCCAGACUCCUGGGGUCUGCUGGACCCCGAAGUCUCUGCUCUUUCUUGUUCCACAGGCCUCUCAAGAACAAUGAAGGCAACACAUCAGCGACCUCAGAGAAGUCCAGGGGACCCCAACCCUACACAACUGGUAUCUGAGGCUGAUUCAGUUGUUGGCAUUGUUACUUUUUACAGCUAAACCCCUAAACCAAACAAAUGCAGAAGUGAAAGGAGGGCCUUCUUGUGGAGCAAAGGGGUUCAGAGUUCUGGUCAAAACAAAACCAUUCUCAUGACAGAGCUGAUCGUGACUGCUUUCUCGUGGAAUCUUCUGGGCCAGUGACUUCCAAAGAGAUCGCUACCUGUUGGCCAGGCUGGAUUCUACACUGGGACACUUAUGAGCACCUUGCCCAGUGUUCAUUGAGUUAUGAGCAACGGGAGCAGGUCCUCUCUGACUACCAUAAAGACUAGCUGUGCCUCUCCUGAGCAUUUCUUUCAUCUUUUGGGUUCUCUGGUCAUAUGUCCCUCUUGGCAGUGACUGCUAGGAAUUCAGAGUUGAAUUUGUGACCCAAACCUUGUAAAUAUACAACAUUGUACGACAUAGUUUAACAGACAAUGAUGCUUCAAGUACUGCCUUGAUUUUCUUGUCUUGAUUUCCUUCCUUCCUUCCUUUUUAAUCUGUUUAUACUGUUUUUCUUAAGACCUUUGAGUCCCAAUUUUACAGGUAAGGAUCCUGAGGCACAGAGAAGUCCCACAGCAAGUAAGAGACGGAGCCAGGAUUUGAAUCUAGGAAGAAUAGUUUGUCUUGAAGAAACUUGCAUUACCAUCUAAAUAUUACUAUGAUAAAAUCCCUGAAAAAGCACCAAAAUAUAACACAAAUUUGGCCUCACUUACCCCUAAUUUGUCAUUUAACAUGUAUGUGGCCUUGUGCAAAUUCCUUUAGGUCAUUUGAAAAUGGAGUUGAUAGCAUCCAUCUCCAGGGUUGAUCUGAGGAGUAAAUUAGAUAAUCUGGGUUAAAUCUGGUAUGUGAGAGAGCUGCAGGACCAACUGACACCAAUUAAGUGGUGGCAAAGAGAGCUCUGGACAAAGGGGACCAGGAUCCAGCUCCAGCUCCAGUUCCUGUCGAUAAAAUGGAGUGUGAUCUUGUCACAAGCUCAGAUAAGAUCAGAGAUGUGAAAAUGCUGUGUAAAUGACCAAUGGCUGAACGAUGUCAAAGGUCAUCGAUCUAAUGAGGAAGUUGGACCUGCUACCUCCAAAGUGCCUUCCAGGCAGGUGACAGGGGAUGAGUGCUAACACUGAUUUUCGUCAGUAUUUUUGAAAACUGAGGCUAAGUUGUUACAGGUAAAAGGGAAUGGCUCUCGUGGUUGUUGGAAUUCAUCUUGGCCAGGAUUCUAUGAGGAUUCAUUCUUCAUUCAGGUCUUAUUUGGAUAAAGGUUUUUUUCUUUUUGCCUUUGAAUGUCUUGCAGGCAUCUCAAACGCAACAUAUCUAAACAUGACUUUAUUUUAUUUCACCUCAAAUCUUAUCCUUCUCGAGAGUUUUCUUUCGGUUAAUGGCAUCACCAUCUACCAUGUUGCCCAGAGAGAAAUCUAGAGUGAUUAUCUGAUUCAGCCUUCUGCCUUACCUCGAUCCCCCAGCACGAGCACACUCGGCUAUCAGUUCUGCUGACCUGCCUCAAAGCUUUUCCUGCAACAUGUCCCCAUUUCUCCAUCCCCUCUGCCAACAGUGCCACAACAGGAACCAGUUUCUAAAGCUUCAUUCGUCAUCCUAAAAAAAUGGUUUCUGUUGUCAUCAUCAUCAUCAUUAUGAUCACACCCAAUAUUUAUUAAGCACAUUUUAUACCAGCACAUUUAUAUGUAUAUAUGUGUUUGAAUAUAUAUAUAUAUAUAUAUAUAUAUUUCAUUUAGUUUACAGAAUACCUACAUAGAACUUACUAUGUGACAAACACUAUUUAAGGACAUUAUAUGCAUUAAUUCAUUUAAUCCUCACAACAACCCAGUGAGGUAGGUGGUAUUAUUAUCUUCAUUUUACAGAUGAGGAAACUGAGGCAGAGAGGUUAGCUAACCUGCCCAAGUUUAGACAGCUAGAAACUGGCAGAGCUCAAAUUUGAACCUAAGAAUUAUGGCUUCAGAGUCUGUCCUCCAGUACACGUUGAAUAGUCAUAAUAGCUACUAUCCUAAGUCAGGCACCUUACAUAGCUUUAUAGGAAAUAUAACAACUCUGAGAGGCAGGGAUUAUUAGCUGCCUUUCACAAGUAAAGACACAAAGGUAAGGACCUUAAGGAGAGAGCCCAAUUCACACCACCAGGAAGUGAGAGCAGAGGCAAGCCGCCGCACUUGUCCGGCAGCGUGAGGAUGACAAUGCCACAGCGGACUGUGGGUGCAGGGCGCUGCUCUGUUUCAGUUACUGGAUUUGACUCCUGUAUAUUUUAUUCUGAAAAGCAAAAACAAGCUCACAGAAUUCUAGAAUUCACAGAUCAGAGAAUUCAGAGAUGAGAGGGACCCACAGGGGCCUCUUGUCGAGGAUCUUCUUACACAGAUGAUCCUUAGUUGGAGAGACUCUCCCGAAGACCCACAUUCAGAGAACGUUAAAGUCAGUCCUGAUUCCCAUGUCUUCCAGAGUUAAACCCAAAAGGCAUAAUGGGGCUUUUCUCCUUUUUCAUGGCAAAAUCCAAAGACAUGAAAGAAUAAAGAGAUAUAUACCAUAGCUGUAACCAGCUAUCCUUCUCUCUCCUUUCUCUCUCUCUCUCCCCUCUUCAUUUGUUUAGCUGAAAAAUUUCUAUAAUCAGUUACAAAUUCUCACAUCACCUCUGCUU